UACGGGGGGGGCAAGCGUUGUUCGGAAUUACUGGGCGUAAAGGGUCUGUAGGUGGCUUGCUAAGUCAGACGUGAAAUCCCUCAGCUUAACUGGGGAACUGCGUCUGAGACUGAUGAGCUUGAGUGCAGGAGAGGAAUGCGGAAUUCCAGGUGUAGCGGUGAAAUGCGUAGAUAUCUGGAGGAACACCGGUGGCGAAGGCGGCAUUCUGGACUGCAACUGACACUGAGAGACGAAAGCCAGGGGAGCAAACGGG
RNAcentral lists this ribosomal RNA (253 nucleotides) under uncultured bacterium. RNAcentral's name for it is "partial 16S ribosomal RNA". It matches the Rfam family "Bacterial small subunit ribosomal RNA", at positions 524 to 776 of the family's 1533-position model. The record is from RNAcentral.